AUACGGAGGGUGCAAGCGUUAAUCGGAAUUACUGGGCGUAAAGCGCACGUAGGUGGUUUGGUAAGUUGGAUGUGAAAUCCCCGGGCUCAACCUGGGAAUGGCAUCCAAGACUGCCAAGCUAGAGUCUGGUAGAGGGUGGUGGAAUUCCAGGUGUAGCGGUGGGAAAUGCGUAGAUAUCUGGAGGAACAUCAGUGGCGAAGGCGGCCACCUGGACCGAGACUGACACUGAGGUGCGAAAGCGUGGGUAGC
Molecule: ribosomal RNA, 249 nt
Filed under: uncultured bacterium
Lineage: Bacteria
Description: partial 16S ribosomal RNA
Rfam family: Bacterial small subunit ribosomal RNA
Source: RNAcentral